UACGGGGGGGGCAAGCGUUGUUCGGAAUUACUGGGCGUAAAGGGCUCGUAGGUGGCCAACUAAGUCAGACGUGAAAUCCCUCGGCUUAACCGGGGAACUGCGUCUGAUACUGGAUGGCUUGAGUUUGGGAGAGGGAUGCGGAAUUCCAGGUGUAGCGGUGAAAUGCGUAGAUAUCUGGAGGAACACCGGUGGCGAAGGCGGCAUCCUGGGCCAACACUGACGCUCAUGCACGAAAGCGUGGGGAGCAAACAGG
RNAcentral lists this ribosomal RNA (253 nucleotides) under uncultured bacterium. RNAcentral describes it as "partial 16S ribosomal RNA". It matches the Rfam family "Bacterial small subunit ribosomal RNA", at positions 524 to 776 of the family's 1533-position model. The record is from RNAcentral.